RNAcentral lists this ribosomal RNA (399 nucleotides) under bacterium enrichment culture clone ALO1_GLFRUDD03HA5VM. RNAcentral's name for it is "bacterial SSU rRNA". It matches the Rfam family "Bacterial small subunit ribosomal RNA", at positions 9 to 406 of the family's 1533-position model. The record is from RNAcentral.
GAGUUUGAUCCUGGCUCAGAUUGAACGCUGGCGGCAUGCCUUACACAUGCAAGUCGAACGGCAGCACGGGAGCUUGCUCCUGGUGGGCGAGUGGCGAACGGGUGAGUAAUGCAUCGGAACGUAUCCUGGAGUGGGGGAUAACGUAGCGAAAGUUACGCUAAUACCGCAUAUUCUGUGAGCAGGAAAGCGGGGGACCUUCGGGCCUCGCGCUCUUGGAGCGGCCGAUGUCGGAUUAGCUAGUUGGUGAGGUAAAGGCUCACCAAGGCGACGAUCCGUAGCAGGUCUGAGAGGAUGAUCUGCCACACUGGAACUGAGACACGGUCCAGACUCCUACGGGAGGCAGCGAGUGGGGAAUUUUGGACAAGUGGGGCAACCCUGAUCCAGCCAUGCCGCGUGAGU